Molecule: ribosomal RNA, 500 nt
Filed under: Airaphilus sp. BYU CO772
Lineage: Eukaryota; Metazoa; Arthropoda; Insecta; Coleoptera; Silvanidae
Description: partial 16S ribosomal RNA
Rfam family: Bacterial large subunit ribosomal RNA (bases 374-500)
Source: RNAcentral
GUCCYUUUGAUUAUAAUUUUAGGUCUAACCYGCCCCCYGAAUUUUAAAAGGCUGCAGUAUUUUGACUGUACAAAGGUAGCAUAAUCAUUAGUUUUUUGAUUGGAAGCUGGAAUGAAGGGUUUGAUGAAAAAUUUUCUGUCUCAAUUUUAAUGAUUGAAUUUAACUUUUUAGUUAAAAGGCUUAAAUUUUUGUAAAAGACGAGAAGACCCUAUAGAACUUUAUAGUUAAUAAAUAUUAGUAGUUUAGUAUUUAUUUUUAUUGUUUUUUUCUAUUAAGUUGGGGUGACUAGAAAAUUUAAUUAACUUUUUUUUUUAUUACAUUUAUAUAUGAAUAUAUGAUCCUUUAAAAGAUUAUAAGAUUAAGUUACCUUAGGGAUAACAGCGUAAUUUUUCUUUAGAGUUCUAAUUGAAAGAAAAGAUUGCGACCUCGAUGUUGGAUUAAAGUAAAAUUUAGGKGAARAAGCUUAUUUUUUGGGUCUGUUCRACCCUUAAAACUUUACA